RNAcentral lists this ribosomal RNA (492 nucleotides) under uncultured bacterium. Its description in RNAcentral is "partial 16S ribosomal RNA". It matches the Rfam family "Bacterial small subunit ribosomal RNA", at positions 29 to 507 of the family's 1533-position model. The record is from RNAcentral.
AGUGGACGCUGGCGGUAGGCCUAACACAUGCAAGUCGAACGGCAGCACAGUAAGAGCUUGCUCUUACGGGUGGCGAGUGGCGGACGGGUGAGGAAUACAUCGGAAUCUACUUUUUCGUGGGGGAUAACGUAGGGAAACUUACGCUAAUACCGCAUACGACCUACGGGUGAAAGCAGGGGAUCUUCGGACCUUGCGCGAUUGCAUGAGCCGAUGUCGGAUUAGCUAGUUGGCGGGGUAAAGGCCCACCAAGGCGACGAUCCGUCGCUGGUCUGAGAGGAUGAUCAGCCACACUGGAACUGAGACACGGUCCAGACUCCUACGGGAGGCAGCAGUGGGGAAUAUUGGACAAUGGGCGCAAGCCUGAUCCAGCCAUACCGCGUGGGUGAAGAAGGCCUUCGGGUUGUAAAGCCCUUUUGUUGGGAAAGAAAAGCAGCAGGUUAAUACCCCGCUGUUCUGACGGUACCCAAAGAAUAAGCACCGGCUAACUUCGUG